Transfer RNA from Camelus ferus (Wild Bactrian camel), 72 nucleotides. It matches the Rfam family "tRNA". From Rfam's summary of the family: Transfer RNA (tRNA) molecules are approximately 80 nucleotides in length. Their secondary structure includes four short double-helical elements and three loops (D, anti-codon, and T loops). Further hydrogen bonds mediate the characteristic L-shaped molecular structure. tRNAs have two regions of fundamental functional importance: the anti-codon, which is responsible for specific mRNA codon recognition, and the 3' end, to which the tRNAs corresponding amino acid is attached (by aminoacyl-tRNA synthetases). tRNAs cope with the degeneracy of the genetic code in two manners: having more than one tRNA (with a specific anti-codon) for a particular amino acid; and 'wobble' base-pairing, i.e. permitting non-standard base-pairing at the 3rd anti-codon position. The record is from Rfam. NCBI's taxonomy places the organism in Eukaryota, Metazoa, Chordata, Mammalia, Artiodactyla, Camelidae.
GAGGGUAUAGCUCAGUGGUAGAGCAUAUGCUUAGCAUGCACAAGGUCCUAGGUUCAAUCCCCAGUACCUCCA